UACGGAGGGUGCAAGCGUUAUCCGGAUUCACUGGGUUUAAAGGGUGCGUAGGCGGGUUGGUAAGUCAGUGGUGAAAUCUUCAAGCUUAACUUGGAAACUGCCGUUGAUACUAUCAAUCUUGAAUGUUGUGGAGGUAAGCGGAAUAUGUCAUGUAGCGGUGAAAUGCUUAGAUAUGACAUAGAACACCGAUAGCGAAGGCAGCUUGUUACACAAUAAUUGACGCUGAGGCACGAAAGCGUGGGGAUCAAACAGG
Molecule: ribosomal RNA, 253 nt
Filed under: uncultured bacterium
Lineage: Bacteria
Description: partial 16S ribosomal RNA
Rfam family: Bacterial small subunit ribosomal RNA
Source: RNAcentral